CUUUAGCCCCGAUGGGAGCGGCAUCUUUUCUGGCUGGCUGGCACGCCAUGGCGGACAGUCAGCCAGAAAAAUACAGCGGACAGCGGGAACAUGG
Molecule: small RNA, 94 nt
Filed under: Flavobacterium saliperosum
Lineage: Bacteria; Pseudomonadati; Bacteroidota; Flavobacteriia; Flavobacteriales; Flavobacteriaceae
Description: Flavo-1 RNA
Rfam family: Flavo-1 RNA
Source: RNAcentral